Molecule: long non-coding RNA, 1735 nt
Organism: Esox lucius (northern pike)
Lineage: Eukaryota; Metazoa; Chordata; Actinopteri; Esociformes; Esocidae
Source: Ensembl
GCCAGACUGGAGAGAGUGAUCUGAUUCUCCUGGAGCGCGUGUCAAAGAGGAGGAGGCGGCGGCGCGAGAGACACGGGGAAUGAACACGGAAGGCAAAGUGAUCGGGAGAGAGAGAGAGAGGGAGAGAGAGAGAGAGAGAGAGAGAGGGAGAGAGAGAGAACACGAUAAAAGGAGAAAGGAGAAGCAACCUCCAGGUGACAGCGUAAGGAGGUCUCCAGAAAACCCAGGACCUUGCACCCUCACCAGUGUCUGGUGUGCUGCACCUCCUCUUCAGGAUCACCAGGGGCUGCUGUUCAUUCGACAGAAAUGAAUCCUAGUGCCGUCAUGAUGUCUCUCUCAAUGUGGGAAGAACUGACAAGUCCUGAGGCUAAGCACAGCUGUCUCUGAGUCUGAGUGGACUGUGAGGAAUGGUUUUGUCCAUCAGCACAAACCCGGGCCAGAGCAGAGAGAACAUGGCCGGAGGAGGGAGGAAGGGCAUUCUGGUCCGGAAACACGGAGGCCACACUGCAAACCGUCUGACUAUCUCACCAAGCCCCUGGCUCAGAACGGAUUCCAAAAGAGCAGCGCCGGCCUGGUUUGACCUGUGGUGGGGAGGGACAGCUGGUGUUGUGAAUCAGGCCGCUACAGUGCCAGACACGGCUUCUUCCCAACACCAGGGUCACACCCCACUGUCUGCAGCACCGGAGGAACACAGCACCCGGCCCCCAUGCCCUCGGCGCCGGCCAAGCCAGGUUAACGACGGGCGAAAUGAAGAUGGAUGCAGAAUUCGAGAAACUCAACCCAGACAAAUGGCUUUUGAAGUCAGAUUAGUUUAAGUUAAUUAACUUAUUACCUGUAUGUAUGUAGGGAUGCGUGUAUGUAUGCAGGGAUGCGUGUAUGUAUGCAGGGCCAGCUCCAGGCAUAAGUGACAUAAGCAGUCACUAAGGGCCCCGACUGCCAGGAGGCCCCAAAUGAAAUGUUGCUUAGGGCCCCCAAAACGCAAGAGCCUGCAUUAUAUGUAUGUACGUACGUGUGUGUGUGUGUGUAUAUAGGUAUAUAUAUAUAUAUAUAUAUAUAUAUAUAUAUAUAUAAACAUUUUAUAUGAUUGUAUAUCUGGGAUAUUUCAGAAACAUUUGAGUAUGGUUCAGAAAUAAAACCCAUCUUUUACCAUGGCACUGCUGAAUAGUGUAUUCUGAUUAAACUAGGUUUAUUGUACUGACUUGCCCUUUGGCUGCUUCUGCAUGUCUGCACUAUUAUUCCACAUCAAUAAGCUAUCAGAGCAUAACACACCCAAACUAUAAGACAGGAAUGGGAGAAACAUUAAAUACAUUAUAAAUUAUAAUGAAAUGUGUUACUGUUGUUAUAAAAGCAAGGCAAAUGAAAGCUCAUUGUCUGUGAGGAAAAUGAAACAGUAUUUAGAAUGGUAUUUUCAGUCUUACUAUCAGUAAGCUUUGGUAGCAUCUUUUUGUGUGCUGCUUUUAUUUUGUAAUUAACACUUCAAAGGAUUUUUAUAUUGUUAUGGAAUUAAUUUGAGGUCUAUAUUGUGGGGUGCUAGGAUGUGACAAAAACAUUUUUCUAAAUGUUUUCAAUAAUAAAGAUACAGCAAAAACAACUAAAGCUGUGGGUUUUUUUUUUUGUUUUAAUUUUAUUCUACAAUGGUAUUUAUUUUCAGACUGAAUGGUCAAUGGCUUGAUUAAACUGAUUGUGUCUAUACACUAUUUUGUUAAAUUUGUUUAGAAGUCUAGGCUAUUAAAAA